This 427-nucleotide ribosomal RNA is filed under the name uncultured bacterium. Its description in RNAcentral is "partial 16S ribosomal RNA". It matches the Rfam family "Bacterial small subunit ribosomal RNA", at positions 355 to 774 of the family's 1533-position model. The record is from RNAcentral.
UGGGGAAUAUUGCACAAUGGGCGCAAGCCUGAUGCAGCCAUGCCGCGUGUAUGAAGAAGGCCUUCGGGUUGUAAAGUACUUUCAGCGGGGAGGAAGGCGAUAAGGUUAAUAACCUUGACGAUUGACGUUACCCGCAGAAGAAGCACCGGCUAACUCCGUGCCAGCAGCCGCGGUAAUACGGAGGGUGCAAGCGUUAAUCGGAAUUACUGGGCGUAAAGCGCACGCAGGCGGUGUGUCAAGUCGGAUGUGAAAUCCCCGGGCUCAACCUGGGAACUGCAUUCGAAACUGGCAGGCUAGAGUCUUGUAGAGGGGGGUAGAAUUCCAGGUGUAGCGGUGAAAUGCGUAGAGAUCUGGAGGAAUACCGGUGGCGAAGGCGGCCCCCUGGACAAAGACUGACGCUCAGGUGCGAAAGCGUGGGGAGCAAACA